RNAcentral lists this ribosomal RNA (257 nucleotides) under uncultured bacterium. RNAcentral describes it as "partial 16S ribosomal RNA". It matches the Rfam family "Bacterial small subunit ribosomal RNA", at positions 524 to 776 of the family's 1533-position model. The record is from RNAcentral.
UACGUAGGGUGCAAGCGUUGUCCGGAAUUAUUGGGCGUAAAGAGCUCGUAGGCGGUUUGUCGCGUCGAAUGUGAAAUCCCGGGGCUCAACCCCGGGUCUGCAUUCGAUACGGGCAGACUAGAGUUCGGUAGGGGGAGUCUGGAAUUCCUGGUGUAGCGGUGGAAAUGACGCAGAUAUCAGGAGGAACACCGGUGGCGAAGGCGGGGACUCUGGGCCGAUACUGACGCUGAGGAGCGAAAGCGUGGGGAGCAAACAGG